ACAGGGGGAGUAACAGUCAGAAAUAGACUGCUAAUACCGCAUAAGACCACAGCACCGCAUGGUGCAGGGGUAAAAACUCCGGUGGUACAGGAUGGACCCGCGUCUGAUUAGCUGGUUGGUGAGGUAACGGCUCACCAAGGCGACGAUCAGUAGCCGGCUUGAGAGAGUGAACGGCCACAUUGGGACUGAGACACGGCCCAAACUCCUACGGGAGGCAGCAUG
This 222-nucleotide ribosomal RNA is filed under the name uncultured bacterium. Its description in RNAcentral is "partial 16S ribosomal RNA". It matches the Rfam family "Bacterial small subunit ribosomal RNA", at positions 135 to 353 of the family's 1533-position model. The record is from RNAcentral.